GCCCCCCCCCCCCCCACACACACACAAACAAAGAGGCGUUAGGCUGAGACGCUGAAAGUCCGGAUUUAAAGUGCAGAAAAUUAAGCCAUUGAAUCUGCCUGUCCAUGACGUACAAAGACACACUAUGAGCCAGUAUGAUCCGACCAGACCUUACAUCAGCAUUGAGGAGUUGUCGGAGAAGAAAGAGGCUGAUUGAAGCGGGACAGAUGACAUGGAUCCAUCCUUCCACAGCCAGGAGUGCACCGACCUGUGUCCCACACUUCAUAUAAGACUGGAAGCUACACUGAUCUCACAGCUACACACCACAGACGUCUACACACUGGAGAAGAGUCCCACAAAGAAGUCAUGACCCAGAGGCUGCAGAGAAACAUUUCAAGCCUCAUCUGAGUUUUUGUACAAUAUUUUUGCUGUAUGUAAAUAAAGCUUUCACUCCACAUA
This is a long non-coding RNA of Limanda limanda (common dab), 438 nucleotides long. RefSeq lists it as uncharacterized. The record is from RefSeq and is a predicted model, not a curated record. NCBI's taxonomy places the organism in Eukaryota, Metazoa, Chordata, Actinopteri, Pleuronectiformes, Pleuronectidae. The transcript has 3 exons.